GGUUAAGCGACUAAGCGUACACGGUGGAUGCCCUGGCAGUCAGAGGCGAUGAAGGGCGUGCUAAUCUGCGAUAAGCGCCGGUAAGGUGAUAUGAACCGUUAUAACCGGCGAUACCCGAAUGGGGAAACCCAGUGUGACUCGUCACACUAUCAUUAACUGAAUCCAUAGGUUAAUGAGGCGAACCGGGGGAACUGAAACAUCUAAGUACCCCGAGGAAAAGAAAUCAACAGGAAAAGAAAUCAAC
This 244-nucleotide ribosomal RNA is filed under the name Salmonella enterica. RNAcentral's name for it is "partial 23S ribosomal RNA". It matches the Rfam family "Bacterial large subunit ribosomal RNA", at positions 1 to 244 of the family's 2925-position model. The record is from RNAcentral. Lineage: Bacteria; Pseudomonadati; Pseudomonadota; Gammaproteobacteria; Enterobacterales; Enterobacteriaceae.